This 501-nucleotide ribosomal RNA is filed under the name uncultured bacterium. Its description in RNAcentral is "partial 16S ribosomal RNA". It matches the Rfam family "Bacterial small subunit ribosomal RNA", at positions 30 to 523 of the family's 1533-position model. The record is from RNAcentral.
AUUGAACGCUGGCGGCAGGCUUAACACAUGCAAGUCGAGCGGGGGAAGGUAGCUUGCUACCGGACCUAGCGGCGGACGGGUGAGUAAUGCUUAGGAAUCUGCCUAUUAGUGGGGGACAACAUCUCGAAAGGGAUGCUAAUACCGCAUACGUCCUACGGGAGAAAGCAGGGGAUCUUCGGACUUUGCGCUAAUAGAUGAGCCCAAGUCGGAUUAGCGAGUUGGUGGGGUAAAGGCCUACCAAGGCGACGAUCUGUAGCGGGUCUGAGAGGAUGAUCCGCCACACUGGGACUGAGACACGGCCCAGACUCCUACGGGAGGCAGCAGUGGGGAAUAUUGGACAAUGGGGGGAACCCUGAUCCAGCCAUGCCGCGUGUGUGAAGAAGGCCUUAUGGUUGUAAAGCACUUUAAGCGAGGAGGAGGCUACUCUAGUUAAUACCUAGGGAUAGUGGACGUUACUCGCAGAAUAAGCACCGGCUAACUCUGUGCCAGCAGCCGCCGUAA